AGGACGAACGCUGGCGGCGUGCUUAACACACGCAAGUCGAGCGGUAAGGCCUCCUUCGGGGGGUACACGAGCGGCGAACGGGUGAGUAACACGUGGGUGACCUGCCCUCAGCUCUGGGAUAAGCCUGGGAAACCGGGUCUAAUACCGGAUAGGACUGCUUGCCGCAUGGUGGGUGGUGGAAAGUUUUUUCGGCUGGGGAUGGGCCCGCGGCCUAUCAGCUUGUUGGUGGGGUGAUGGCCUACCAAGGCGGUGACGGGUA
This 259-nucleotide ribosomal RNA is filed under the name uncultured bacterium. RNAcentral's name for it is "partial small subunit ribosomal RNA". It matches the Rfam family "Bacterial small subunit ribosomal RNA", at positions 26 to 285 of the family's 1533-position model. The record is from RNAcentral.